RNAcentral lists this ribosomal RNA (427 nucleotides) under uncultured bacterium. Its description in RNAcentral is "partial 16S ribosomal RNA". It matches the Rfam family "Bacterial small subunit ribosomal RNA", at positions 355 to 774 of the family's 1533-position model. The record is from RNAcentral.
UGGGGAAUAUUGGACAAUGGGCGAAAGCCUGAUCCAGCCAUGCCGCGUGUGUGAAGAAGGUCUUCGGAUUGUAAAGCACUUUAAGUUGGGAGGAAGGGCAUUAACCUAAUACGUUAGUGUUUUGACGUUACCGACAGAAUAAGCACCGGCUAACUCUGUGCCAGCAGCCGCGGUAAUACAGAGGGUGCAAGCGUUAAUCGGAAUUACUGGGCGUAAAGCGCGCGUAGGUGGUUUGUUAAGUUGGAUGUGACAUCCCCGGGCUCAACCUGGGAACUGCAUUCAAAACUGACUGACUAGAGUAUGGUAGAGGGUGGUGGAAUUUCCUGUGUAGCGGUGAAAUGCGUAGAUAUAGGAAGGAACACCAGUGGCGAAGGCGACCACCUGGACUAAUACUGACACUGAGGUGCGAAAGCGUGGGGAGCAAACA